Molecule: non-coding RNA, 29 nt
Filed under: Homo sapiens (human)
Lineage: Eukaryota; Metazoa; Chordata; Mammalia; Primates; Hominidae
Source: RNAcentral
UCCAUGCUCUGGGGUUUUGCCAAGAAUUA